AGUAACACGUGGGGAACCUGCCUCAUAGUCUGGGAUACCACUUGGAAACAGGUGCUAAUACCGGAUAAGAAAGCGGAUCGCAUGAUUAGCUUUUAAAAGGCGGCGUAAGCUGUCGCUAUGGGAUGGCCCCGCGGUGCAUUAGCUAGUUGGUAAGGUAAAGGCUUACCAAGGCGAUGAUGCAUAGCCGAGUUUAGAGACUGAUCGGCCACAUUGGGACUGAGACACGGCCCAAACUCCUACGGGAGGCAGCAGCC
RNAcentral lists this ribosomal RNA (254 nucleotides) under uncultured Lactobacillus sp. Its description in RNAcentral is "partial 16S ribosomal RNA". It matches the Rfam family "Bacterial small subunit ribosomal RNA", at positions 109 to 355 of the family's 1533-position model. Lineage: Bacteria; Bacillati; Bacillota; Bacilli; Lactobacillales; Lactobacillaceae. The record is from RNAcentral.